AUUCGUUGUCGGAAUUAGAUGAACCGAUUGCCCACUCGACUCAAAACAUCUCCCCUGAACUUGUUCACAAUGAUAUGAUAAAUGCCCCGAUUGAGACUAAUCUAUGGAGUAAUGACAAUGACUCCCACACAAAUUCAUUGCUCAUACAUGCUGCAGAAAUAGGGGAAUUAUUUGAUUUAAUGUAUUUUUAAUAUAUAUAUAUAUAUAUAAUAUUAUUAAUAAAGAUUAUUUAAUCUCAACACA
Long non-coding RNA from Daktulosphaira vitifoliae (grape phylloxera), 243 nucleotides. RefSeq lists it as uncharacterized. The transcript is spliced from 2 exons. Lineage: Eukaryota; Metazoa; Arthropoda; Insecta; Hemiptera; Phylloxeridae. The record is from RefSeq and is a predicted model, not a curated record.